Mustela erminea (ermine) is the source of this 1293-nucleotide long non-coding RNA. RefSeq lists it as uncharacterized. NCBI's taxonomy places the organism in Eukaryota, Metazoa, Chordata, Mammalia, Carnivora, Mustelidae. The transcript is spliced from 4 exons. The record is from RefSeq and is a predicted model, not a curated record.
CGCGCGCUCCGUGGGUACCGUCCGGGACAGCGGGGAUGGCUCCUGGGAAGCGGGUCGGCCUCCUGCGCGUCUGGCUCCGGACAGCCGCCUGGCGUCUGGGACGUGGGUCUUCCGUUCUCUCCCUCGGGUCCCCGAGGGCAGUACCGGUCGUCCGGAGUACCGGGGCUGCGACCGUCUGAGCUAGGAGCUGACUCAGCGGCAGUGCCUGAUACAGCCUGAUGCCGGGGAAGGUUUGGCCAAACCAUAUGGGAGGCCUAGAACUUUCCUCAGCUCACACAGGCAGUAGUGGCCCUGCCAGGGCUUGACCCAAGCUGUCUGAUUCUACAGAUCAGCCUGGACCCACCAGACCCUGGUGACUCCCCAUCACUUACACUCCAGGUGUAGAGUAACAGUGGUCAGCAUAGCACCGCCAGGCAUUUCUUGUCUCGGGAAGACUUGGCAGCCGACUACACAGCUGUCUGUGAAUGAUCUCCCAGGUCCAAGGACAGGAGACACACACCAGUGCACCUUUCCAAGCCAGUGUGACCUCCGACCAGUGCCAUCGGACCCACAGGCAUGGAAACAUGCACAAACACCCCGAGCUGUUGGGCCUCUGGCUGGCUCUAAGAAAACAGAAAACAGCUUAAGUUUCUUUGAUGGAACUAGAUGCACCUGAGCCUGUGUCCAGGAGAGCAAACCCGGGAGUGAGGGCCCGUGGCUGCCGCCAUGUGCAGAGGAGUCUUUUGAUUCCUAGUUGCCGAGAUCCUGGUUCUUGCAGGAGAAGAUGACCCGCGGGUUGGUGGUCCAACCCUCGUGUCCACAAGGAGUCCCCGGACAGAUGACAAGGCUGCUGCAAGGCAAGGCUGCUCCUUGCUGGACCCGCUGAAGAGGCAGCUGUGAUCUGGUCGACGGGAGGUGAAUGAGGCCCCAAGCUCAGGUAUUUUCUCAGUCGUGUGCGCUCCUACAACGUCAACGGGGACAUCCCGGCAGGGAAGGCCCAAGUGGACUGAAUGAAGGCCAGGCCCCAGGUGUCUUCCUAAAAGUGACGUUGUCCCAUCUGACUGCAGCCACGUGCCCUGGCCAUGAGCCUUCCCAGCCGCUGCAAAUGCUGACGGAACGAGGAAGUGUGCCCAACCACAGCUCACGUGCUGUCGCCUCCCACAGCGCUCCCUGUCCCCUGUCCGCACGGACGCCAAGUGCCCAGAAUGUGUUCAGGGACAGUCUUUUCUCCAGCCACACCCGUGGUGCCAGCCCCUCUGACGGCAACAGAGGUGCCCUGGCCCGGUGGCCCAGAGGCAUCUGGCAGAAGCACAA